This 5129-nucleotide long non-coding RNA is filed under the name Bemisia tabaci. RNAcentral's name for it is "lncRNA ENSSSA2NGG001883". Lineage: Eukaryota; Metazoa; Arthropoda; Insecta; Hemiptera; Aleyrodidae. The record is from RNAcentral.
GCUUGUCAAGAUGGUAAAUGUCUCAAGCUUUAGCAUCUCAAACAUUCCAGGUUCCAAAAACAACGAUUUGGAGGCGAUUGCAAAGAUCGGCUGGUAACAAUGGUAGUAGCAAACAAGAGAGGAGAAGGCGAAACCAAGUUGCGAUGCUCAAAGCAGAUUUUCUCGAUGGAAGCUCAGACGAUGUUGCCACAGCAAUCAGCUCGGACACAGGAGAGGAGUUCACCUUCAGUGAGGUAGUGCCCAUGACCUACCUGAAUGUAGGAGAGGGUGGUGAAGUGAAUGAACAUUCAUUGAUAAUCCUGACCCCUUCGAAUGAAACAUUAGAUCUACAGAAUGUCGUUGUGGAAGAAGAAAUCACUGAAAUUUCCGCAGAAGAUGCCCAAGCGGAGGAGGACGAGCAAAACCAAGAUCAAGAAGCAGCCGUCAUGGAUCACUCAAUUCUGGGAAUAGACUGCAGUUGAAGAACUCAGGCACAAAACGAAUCCCACGAGUGCCAACCCACCGCUACAGCUGAGUUAUGUAUUGAGAUUCAGGCUGCCACUCAAAAUUAAACUAAGCCACUCAUUAUUGUAGGAAACCUUCCUGAACAGGACUGAGUUAAGCAGAAAGGAACCAACCCACAUUUUGGAAAAAAUGGAGUUAUGAGUGGUUUUGAACUCAACCACUGCUCUACUAUCUAUCGCCAAAAAUUCAAAGUUUUUGCUGGAGCAAAUUUUGCAGAAAUUGAACUUGAAGUUUAUCUUUUACAUUGAGUCUUAUGCAGGAACCAAACUUUAAACCUAUUUUUCUCGGUUCGAUCCCGAUGUGGCUUGGUUCCUUUCUGUUUAACUCCGUCCAACGAUACUAUGCAGUAGCUUUGUUUGACCAGUUUCCAAAUUUUGUUUCGUAUCAACGAUAGUAGGUGUUUAACCCAGAAGGAACAGCAGUUAUCUUGGGUAGCUUCAAAAUUAUCUUUUUCGCCUCGGCCAUUGCAUGUCUGAUAAUGUCGCUAGUUCCACGUCUUUACGAAUGUAGUCUUAUUUGGAAAUAUUCACUCAAAAGUUACUUGCACAGUGUCAAGUGGCCUUAUCAAGCUUAUGUGUGUAUUUUUUUCUGGACUCAAUGUUUUCUCUGAAACAGGUUCGGUGACCUUCAGUGUGUUGUAUACUUAUUUUUAGCAGUGAAGCCUAGUUUUUGUUUUCUAGUCAAGAAAUGGAGCACAAGUAGGGUAAAACGGGAAGCAACCGGAAAUAAGUCGAUAAGCCAUCGUUUGAUGCAUACUGUGUGUGAUCAGAUAUUGAUCAGUGCUCACGUUGCUUCUUUCUGAGAUCUUAAAAUCUCAUUUUGACCUACUCCAAGCUAGCCUGCAGCAGUGCAAAAUUAUCAAAUAACUGUUAGAUAAAGCAAGAGAAUAGCUUUUUGAGAUCUAACUUUUAACAUCUCUUUACUCAAAACUUCUAUACAUUCUUAACAAAACGUUAUUAGAUAUGAUACAAAUUUUCCAAAAUCUCAUGAAAACUGAUGAAUUCAGUUUUUUGCUUGCCUAAGCCAGCCAAUAAACGGAGUAUCUAUUAAUUUAAUUAUACAGUGGAGCCGGUAUAUAACGAAGUUCACGGUUCCCAGAAAAACUUCGUUAUAUCCGGAACUUCGUUAAAAGCGGACUCUAUUGAGUGUAUAGGGAGGUUCCAGGGGAAUGAAAAUUACUUCGUUAUAUCCGAAACUUCGUUAAAAGCGGGUUCAUUAUAUACGGGCUCCACUGUAUUUCUCACUGAUUUUUGUCUAAAUAGUCAGUGUUUCAAUUUUUUGCACAUAUUUCAAUUGUUUAGUGAAGUUAUUUUACCAUCACAGCCAGCUCUCUUGCAAAUAUCUCUAUACCCCUAAAAAAAUUGAAUAAAAAAAUUGUAACAUGCCGCGCAAGGCUGAGUUGAUUCGUUCCUUAACAGUCCCAAUAAGAAUAUAGAUUUAUCACUGCAGUUGACCCACAGGUUCAACGGAGACAAAAACACAAGACAGACAUUUGCAGGCAAAGUGUCAUGAAGCACUCUCUGUGCACCCCUGAAGUAAAAUUUGAGAAAUCAAUGUUUGCUUAUAUGAUGUCAUAGACGCAUACGAGGGCUGUCCCAAAAGGAACCGGACUUUUGUCAUUGAAGGCAAACCGAGCGUUGUAAUGAAGUUUUCUUGGGCUUGUUUGAAAGCUGAUGAGCUACUGGAAAUGCUUGUUUUUACAGAAUGCAAAAUUCGUCUUGGUAAGGAAACUACACGCGUUGGAAUAAAGGAAAGUCAAACUCGAGUUGCGAUUUUUGUCUUUAUUUCAAGAAAAAUUUAGAUACAACUAAAAAAACCCAGGGUUUAAGUUAAAAACUUCGUUGCUCUCUUAUUCAAAUGCUUAAAUUUAAGGAAAUUAACAUUUUAAGCAGCUUACCAAGUCAUCACUUAUCCCCUUCAAAAUACUCGCCAGCUUUGUCGAUGCAUUUUUGCCACCGUUUCUUCAAUUGGGAGAAACACUGUUGGAAAUCCUCAGGUUUGAAUGAUCGCAAUUCCUUCAAGGUGAAACUGUCAAUCGUGAAUAUUACAAUGGUGUUCUGAGACGAUUACGCGAAAAUGUCCGCAGAAAAAGGCCCGAGCUUUGGAGAGAGAAUUCCUGGUUUCUGCAUCGCGAUAAUGCACCUGCCCAUGCAUCCCUCCAAAUUCGCGAAUUUUGUGCAAAGAAUGCCAUGAGCGUCCUCCCUCAUCCCCCUUAUUCACCUGACCUGGAUUCGUGUGAUUUUUUCUUAUUUCCACGACUUAAAUCUACCUUGAAAGGUCGACGUUUUCAAACCAUUCCGGAAAUUCAAGAGAACACCUUGAAGGAAUUGCGAUCAUUCAAACCUGAGGGUUUCCAACAGUGUUUCUCCCAAUUGAAGAAACGGUGGCAAAAAUGUAUCGACAAAGCUGGCGAGUAUUUUGAAGGGGAUAAGUGAUGACUUGGUAAGCUGCAUAAAAUGUUAAUUUCCUUAAAUUUAAGCAUUUGAAUAAGAGAGCAACGAAGUUUUUAACUUAAACCCUGGGUUUUUUCGAGUUGUAUCUAAAUUUUUCUUGAAAUAAAGACAAAAUCGCAAAUCGAGUUUGACUUUCCUUUAUUCCAACGCGUGUAGUUUCCUUACCAAGACGAAUUUUUGCAUUCUGUAAAAACAAGCAUCUCCAGUAGCUCAUCAGCUUUCAAACAAGCCCAAGAAAACUUCAUUACAACGCUCGGUUUGCCUUCAAUGACAAAGUCCGGUUUCUUUUGGGACAGCCCUCGUAUCUUAUCCUUUGGAUCAUUCCUAAUGAAAGGACAUCGCACCAAAAAAUUUGAAGCCGGCUAAAUUUAGGUGUUAUUCAAAACUAUGUUCCUCACAGCCUCCAGAGCACUAUGAGCUUUUAAAAUCAAGCUUUCUAGUUGCCAAUUUUGUGAAAAGCGGGGAUAAAAUGUGAAUUUUUUGGUAUUUUUCAUGUAACACUAUGCUCAGUAAUUUUCCUCUGUUUAUUCAUCUUGUCAAGCAUCUGUAUCAGAGAAAUAUCAUUCAGUCAAAACCAAGUACCUUUUUUUUGGCGUUUCUGUGAUUUUACUUGUAUUACGUCUAGUGUAAGUGUCUCUCCCUCUCUCAUUAAGAAUUUAAAACAGCAUCAUAAAUUUGCUGUUACCCCAUUAUAGGAUGAAUAGGAUUAAUCAAUUAGCAAGCUAUGGAAAUCAUGGUAGAACCAAGACAUCAGAGAGAUAGGUUUCCUAUAGAGAGAAGUCUUUCAUCCUUGAAAGGUUUCGUUAACUUUUACCAUCAACCCUUUUUGUUUUUUGUUUCCUUUGUUUUUUUUUAUUUUAGUUUUUACAAAUGCUCAUCUAAGAUUAUAUGUGUGAAUUGAAUAGGUUUUUUUGAAGUCGUCCAUAAAUGACUUCUUCCGAAGAACAGCAUUUUAACCUUAACCUUUUGUCAUGUACCUGUCGUGCGGAUUUGAACUCGCCUGAAUAAUGGAACAGUGGCAAGGGAUUUAUGCAGGGUUGUAGUAUAGUUUUUCCUAAGUAGAAUUUUGUGAAAAAACGAAGGAGUUCAUUGAAAUUUAAUCUCUGUGAAGGAAAAAGCUAAUUGAAAACCAACCAAUCUAAAGGGGACUGUCGAAAUGAUGUAGCAAGACAAUGCCUGAAGCUAAGUUUAGCUGGUCAGCAAAUGCCGUUUCCCCCGACUGGUUAUAUCAUCAGAGCCCGCCAUAAUUUUCAUCAAGGUUUGGCAAAAUUUAAACCAAGGCAUCAGUAAAAGAACAUAUGAGUUCAGGAUUUUACAAGCCUUAUUGUAAAAUGCUCUCAUGUGUUAGUUUGACAAAGGUUCACCAAACUUAUUUUUUCUUUUGAUUCUACUCGUAAGUUUCUCACUAAGCUUCAUUUUAUUUUUUGACUGUUGUACAAAUGAAGAAUAUUUUGUUUUUGUCAGGUGUUUAUUCUUAUUACCUGUACAGUUACUAAGUAUUAACUCUUCACAAAAAAUUUACCAUGUUUUGUAAUUUUUUUACUCGCGACUAUGAUUAAUGUUGUUGUAAAUAAAAUCUUUAUUUAUUGAUUUAAAUUUUGUGAAUAAAUAUGUUGCCUUGACAUUCAAUUGCUAUUUUCUUAACCAAACCAUGAUAUACGACACUUAUCAUCGAAAAAUCCUUUAACCAUCAACUCUUGGAUUACUACCAGGGGGCUCUCUUAAAAUAUGUACCAAAGCUAAAUUUCGGAUUUUCCUCCUAGAUUAGGCAAUGCGAAAUGCAGUUAUGGUGAUUCGGUGGUUCCGGGAUGAUCCAUUCAUUUUAAAGUGAAAAUUCCUCAUCAAAUUUCUCUUCAAUAAGAUUAUAGAUUGGGGCACCACACUGGAAAAAAAAAACAAUGGAUCUAGAGUCCAGACUCUUAAAAACAUCGACAAGAAAAAGUACUCUUGAUUCAAUCAGAAUCUAGCUUAAAUCAAGAACCAAGCCUCUUGAUUUAAGCGGAUUUCGUUUUGAUUCAAGUAAAAAUCCGAUUGAAUAAAGAGUAUUUUUUCUUGUCAAUGUUUUCAAGAGUCUGGACUCUAGAUUCAAUGUGUUUUUUUUCCCAGUGCAAGAAAUUAAGACCCUAGCCACAAAAAUUCCAGACCUUCUGGAUCCCAUGGCUAAAAUGUUAC